GCGCUCGUGGUGUAAUUGGUAGCACGCGCCUCGCUCGAAGCCGGUGGUGUUGACGCCGAAUCCUUCGAGGAAUCUUCUAUAACGGCCCUUAGUGCAGGAAACCUCAGUUGAGGUCUCAGUCCCGGUUCGAAUCCGGGCGAGCGCA
Molecule: non-coding RNA, 145 nt
Organism: Cladorrhinum samala
Lineage: Eukaryota; Fungi; Ascomycota; Sordariomycetes; Sordariales; Podosporaceae
Source: the annotation of a GenBank genome assembly